RNAcentral lists this ribosomal RNA (388 nucleotides) under uncultured eukaryote. RNAcentral describes it as "partial 18S ribosomal RNA". It matches the Rfam family "Eukaryotic small subunit ribosomal RNA", at positions 592 to 976 of the family's 1831-position model. The record is from RNAcentral.
CAAUAGCGUAUAUUAAAGUUGUUGCAGUUAAAAAGCUCGUAGUUGGAUUUCUGAUCGAGACAUCAGGUCGGGUCCGAGAGGAUCAUGUACUUUGAUUUUGUUUUGAUCAUCCUUGGGGAGAGCAUUUCUGGCAUUCAGUUGUCGGGAUUGGGAUCCUCAUCGUUUACUGUGAAAAAAUUAGAGUGUUCAAAGCAGGCCUCGGCCUCUGAAUACAUUAGCAUGGAAUAAUAAGAUAGGACUUUGGUGGUCUAUUUUGUUGGUUUGCACGCCAAAGUAAUGAUUAAUAGGGAUAGUUGGGGGUAUUCGUAUUCAAUUGUCAGAGGUGAAAUUCUGGGAUUUAUGGAAGACGAACUACUGCGAAAGCAUUUACCAAGGAUGUUUUCAUUAA